AACGAACGCUGGCGGCAUGCCUAACACAUGCAAGUCGAACGAGACCUUCGGGUCUAGUGGCGCACGGGUGCGUAACGCGUGGGAACCUGCCCUUAGGUUCGGAAUAACUCCCCGAAAGGGGUGCUAAUACCGGAUAAUGUCUUCGGACCAAAGAUUUAUCGCCUUUGGAUGGGCCCGCGUUGGAUUAGCUAGUUGGUAGGGUAAAAGCCUACCAAGGCGACGAUCCAUAGCUGGUCUGAGAGGAUGAUCAGCCACACUGGGACUGAGACACGGCCCAGACUCAUACGGGAGGCAGCAGUGGAGAAUGUUAGACAAUGGGCGAAAGCCUGAACCAGCAAUGCCGCGUGAGUGAUGAAGGCCUUAGGGUUGUAAAGCUCUUUUAACCGGGAUGAUAAUGACAGUACCGGAAGAAUAAGCUCCGGCUAACUCCGUG
This 433-nucleotide ribosomal RNA is filed under the name uncultured bacterium. Its description in RNAcentral is "partial 16S ribosomal RNA". It matches the Rfam family "Bacterial small subunit ribosomal RNA", at positions 29 to 507 of the family's 1533-position model. The record is from RNAcentral.